CAGUAGCCGCGGUAAUACAGAGGGUGCGAGCGUUAAUCGGAUUUACUGGGCGUAAAGCGUGCGUAGGCGGCUUCUUAAGUCGGAUGUGAAAUCUUUGAGCUUAACUUAGGAAUUGCAUUCGAUACUGGGAAGCUAGAGUAUGGGAGAGGAUGGUAGAAUUCCAGGUGUAGCGGUGAAAUGCGUAGAGAUCUGGAGGAAUACCGAUGGCGAAGGCAGCCAUCUGGCCUAAUACUGACGCUGAGGUACGAAAGCAUGGGGAGCAAACAGGAUUAGAUACCCCCGUAGUCCCUGUCUCUUAUAU
This 301-nucleotide ribosomal RNA is filed under the name uncultured bacterium. Its description in RNAcentral is "partial 16S ribosomal RNA". It matches the Rfam family "Bacterial small subunit ribosomal RNA", at positions 509 to 809 of the family's 1533-position model. The record is from RNAcentral.